GAAUGUUCCUGUGUAUUUGAAGAUCUUACAGGCCUUCUAAAGGGCAAGUCUGCACAUGAACCGCAUCAAUCUUGUGCUUUGUUUCCUUUCUCCACUCUGUUUUAAUUUGUGGAGGACCUUGGCUCUGCUGCUUAACAUUGGAAUGUGGGAAGAUUUUUCAACUGGGAAAAAAGGAGAUGCAUAACUUUGCUCAUAACUCAUUCAAGAGGUGCCCUUUAGCAUCAACAAGGAUCAUGGAAACAGUCAUUAGUGAGUCUGCAGUUGGGACAGCACUCUUGUCACAGCAGUGGCACUUCAGUAUUCCUGUUUCCAGCCUGGAAGUCUCUACAUCCCCCAGCAAGGACCUGGAAGCCACUGUGUAGGUGUUUUACAAACAUAAAGCUGCUGGAUGUCUGCGAGUACACUCUGCUCUUUGCUGUUCUACCAUCUUGUGGAGAAAAUGUAUUGCAGUAACUGGUUUGACAAGAACACCACAGAACUUCUGAAGUACUUUAUGAGGAGGCCCUAUUUCCUGUCUCCUGUAGCAUUCCCAGUGAGGUGGAGGCUAACCAGUGUUGUAGAUAGCUUAGUCUUCAGCCCAUGGCACAGCUGGGAGUUGAUGUAAAGAAGCGACCUUACAAAAGUAUGCCUUUCUGCCGUACAUCUACAAUAUUCCCAUUAGCAGCCUUCUAGCUAUUUAUUCUGCUUUGAACUGAAUUGUAUUUGUCAUGGCUCCUCUCUACAGCCAGUUCUUAUGAUGGAGAGAAAUAGUGGAUAUAUAUAUAUAUUUUUUUUUUUAAAGGAGCUUUGCUAAGAUCUAAGCCAAUAUGCUAAGAACACCCUUGGGCUGUUUUUAAAGUAUAUUUGGACUGGAAUAUUCUAAAAUGCUGCUGGCAAUGAUCAAGUACCCACAGUUUUUAUUCUUUAAUUGUAUUUAAUUGAAUUUCAACAAGAAUUGAUCAGACUGUAAAGGGAAUGCUGCAAAAUGUAGACAGAAUUGUAGUUACCCAAGGUGCUUCCCCCCAAAAAACAGUGCCUGCCCCUUCCUGUGGUAGUGUCUACGCUUGCAUUCUCUGAAUUCAGUGCUUGGGCUGAAAGAAUGAGUGGAAACUCCAGCUCAAGAGGAAAUGCAGAAUAUUUAAGGAAGGAAAAAAGGGUUCUGAGCUUCUCUUCUCUGAAAGUUGUCAUUACAACUGAAAUAGAAAUCAUUAACGCACUUUGGUAGAGAAACAGCUCAGUAAUUACCAGUCAACUAGCAAAGUAACAGUAUGUAAAAUGGGAAUGUGAAAGCAUAGGAAAUGAUGAUUACUCUUUAGUGCUAUUUAGGGAAUAUUUCACACAAGUGAAUAGAGGAUAUGGGAACAUGAGACAUGGUGAAGUUAGAAGGAAGUUCUCACUAGAAGUAAGCCAUGGGGUCUCUGUGUGUUGUGUAAUACUUUGAGUUUUUUUCUGAACAUUUACUUUCCAGUUUGCUUGCAAGGUUUCAAGUUAGAUGUCCAUUAAAGCAUCAUCUUAAUAAAGGUCCUCCUGUAUUCUGUA
Molecule: long non-coding RNA, 1518 nt
Organism: Lagopus muta (rock ptarmigan)
Lineage: Eukaryota; Metazoa; Chordata; Aves; Galliformes; Phasianidae
Exons: 2
Source: RefSeq, a predicted model, not a curated record